RNAcentral lists this ribosomal RNA (466 nucleotides) under uncultured bacterium. Its description in RNAcentral is "partial 16S ribosomal RNA". It matches the Rfam family "Bacterial small subunit ribosomal RNA", at positions 28 to 506 of the family's 1533-position model. The record is from RNAcentral.
GACGAACGCUGGCGGCGUGCUUAACACAUGCAAGUCGAACGGAAAGGCCCUGCUUUUGUGGGGUGCUCGAGUGGCGAACGGGUGAGUAACACGUGAGUAACCUGCCCUUGACUUUGGGAUAACUUCAGGAAACUGGGGCUAAUACCGGAUAGGAGCUCCUGCUGCAUGGUGGGGGUUGGAAAGUUUCGGCGGUUGGGGAUGGACUCGCGGCUUAUCAGCUUGUUGGUGGGGUAGUGGCUACCAAGGCUUUGACGGGUAGCCGGCCUGAGAGGGUGACCGGCCACAUUGGGACUGAGAUACGGCCCAGACUCCUACGGGAGGCAGCAGUGGGGAAUAUUGCACAAUGGGCGGAAGCCUGAUGCAGCAACGCCGCGUGCGGGAUGACGGCCUUCGGGUUGUAAACCGCUUUCGCCUGUGACGAAGCGUGAGUGACGGUAAUGGGUAAAGAAGCACCGGCUAACUACGU